GAAGCUGGCCAGACAGCCGCUGCGUGCCGCGAGGCACGGAGAGGAAAGUCCGGGCUCCAAAGGGUAGGGUGACGGGUAACACCCGUCCGCCGCAAGGCGAGGAACAGGGCCACAGAGACGAGUCUUGGGGCGCAAGCACCAAGGGUGAAACGCGGCAACCUCCACUCGGAGCAACACCAAAUAGGCAAGCGAUGACGCGACCCGCCGAGCUUGCGGGUAGGUGGCUUGAGCCCUGGAGCAAUCCAGGGCCUAGAGGAAUGGCUGUCCACGACAGAACCCGGCUUACCGGCCAGCUUGCCUU
RNAcentral lists this RNase P RNA (301 nucleotides) under Betaproteobacteria bacterium RIFCSPLOWO2_12_FULL_62_13. RNAcentral describes it as "RNase P RNA component class A". It matches the Rfam family "Bacterial RNase P class A". Rfam says of the family: Ribonuclease P (RNase P) is a ubiquitous endoribonuclease, found in archaea, bacteria and eukarya as well as chloroplasts and mitochondria. Its best characterised activity is the generation of mature 5'-ends of tRNAs by cleaving the 5'-leader elements of precursor-tRNAs. Cellular RNase Ps are ribonucleoproteins. Lineage: Bacteria; Pseudomonadati; Pseudomonadota; Betaproteobacteria. The record is from RNAcentral.